AGUGAACGCUGGCGGUAGGCCUAACACAUGCAAGUCGAACGGCAGCACAGGUGAGCUUGCUCUCUGGGUGGCGAGUGGCGGACGGGUGAGGAAUGCAUCGGAAUCUACUCUGUCGUGGGGGAUAACGUAGGGAAACUUACGCUAAUACCGCAUACGACCUACGGGUGAAAGCAGGGGACCUUCGGGCCUUGCGCGAUUGAAUGAGCCGAUGUAGGAUUAGCUAGUUGGCGGGGUAAAGGCUACCAAGGGGACGAUCCGUAGCUGGUCUGAGAGGAUGAUCAGCCACACUGGAACUGAGACACGGUCCAGACUCCUACGGGAGGCAGCAGUGGGGAAUAUUGGACAAUGGGCGCAAGCCUGAUCCAGCCAUACCGCGUGGGUGAAGAAGGCCUUCGGGUUGUAAAGCCCUUUUGUUGGGAAAGAAAUCCAGCUGGCUAAUACCCGGUUGGGAUGACGGUACCCAAAGAAUAAGCACCGGCUAACUUCGUGCCAGCAGCCGCAGUAA
Molecule: ribosomal RNA, 505 nt
Filed under: uncultured bacterium
Lineage: Bacteria
Description: partial 16S ribosomal RNA
Rfam family: Bacterial small subunit ribosomal RNA
Source: RNAcentral